This 253-nucleotide ribosomal RNA is filed under the name uncultured bacterium. Its description in RNAcentral is "partial 16S ribosomal RNA". It matches the Rfam family "Bacterial small subunit ribosomal RNA", at positions 524 to 776 of the family's 1533-position model. The record is from RNAcentral.
UACGAAGGGGGCUAGCGUUGCUCGGAAUCACUGGGCGUAAAGCGCACGUAGGCGGCUUUUUAAGUCAGAGGUGAAAUCCUGGAGCUCAACUCCAGAACUGCCUUUGAUACUGAGGAUCUUGAGUUCGGGAGAGGUGAGUGGAACUGCGAGUGUAGAGGUGAAAUUCGUAGAUAUUCGGAAGAACACCAGUGGCGAAGGCGACUUACUGGACACAUAUUGACGCUGAGGUGCGAAAGCGUGGGGAGCAAACAGG